Long non-coding RNA from Salvelinus fontinalis (brook trout), 1890 nucleotides. RefSeq lists it as uncharacterized. The transcript has 2 exons. Lineage: Eukaryota; Metazoa; Chordata; Actinopteri; Salmoniformes; Salmonidae. The record is from RefSeq and is a predicted model, not a curated record.
AGUAUUACGAUGAUCUCAUAUUGUUUCCAAAUAAAACCCACCGUGCCAAAGACUGAGCAGAGAUUUUAUUGCAUAUGAGCAAAGAUAAUAGAUUGGUGUAGUUUAGCACAUAGUGGAUGCCAGAGUUCCUUCAUUCCCAGUAGAUUUCAUUUGGACCCGGCUCAAAACCGAGGAAGCCUCGCGGAGUUGUUUACAUUGAAUACAGGAUAGGGCCGGUGCCAUGGGGCCGUCCUUUUAUUAAUAUACAGUGAGGAUUUCUGUCUAAAUUACUGCUAUACAUUUCAGGUUGCACACUUGCAAAGGGCGGCUAGCGCGGCGGUGAGAAACGUGACACCGGGUAAUGGGAAUGAAAAACGUUAACUUCCAAAAGAUCACCGAAAAGAGUAAAAAAAUACAUUUCAUAAAAAAAAAUCCCUGAGUUCAAUGCAUGCCGCUAAAUUCAGUCUCUGUGAAAUAUGGUGUGCUUAUUAUUUAUUUGUUUAUUUUAUAAGGUCCCCAAGUUCCCUGCUGGGGAGUUCAUUUGUUUUGUAUGCAAAAAAGAAAGGGGGAAAAAAUCCCCAAGUAUAACAAGAGACGAACAGUUAGUGCUGAUUUUCAUUUGCAUAAAUUUUCAUAUAUUUUAGUGAAAAUAAUAGCGGAGCCGAGGAGUGCUCUGCUCAGUUGAGGCAGAGGAAAGAAAAUCUUAGGGAGCACCGACUCGUAGGAAAGGAGAUGGCCAUUAAUAGAUUACAAAUAUACAUGUAAAGCAUUUUUCGACUAUUCUUGGAUAUAAGGAGCACCAGGGUCCCCUCGCCACCCCUCCACCCCCGCCCCUUGGCCCCCAUGCCCCUCACCCUCUAACCCCCUCCUCCAGAGGUAAGGGCCUCAGUGUGUGUUCUCUCCCCUCCUCUACCCACCCCAGCAGCGGACACACAACACAAGCUUCUCCCCGGCUUCCGCUUCCUCCGCGCUGCUGCACCACUGCUGGAGUAUUCACGCUCCAGGCUGUUUUCUUUGAGAGACUAUAAAAAUAUGCAAAUGGCUAUUGUUAAGAGCGAAAAGUAGAGGGUAUUUUUCUCCCCGUACGCCGCUUGUGUUCCUGGUGAGUAUAAUGUGCAGAGAGGGCUGAGGGGUUUCCUUCAGUCUUUAGUCUCUCUCUCACACACACAGACUCACAAAGACAGGGCUGGAGAUGACCAGGUACAGAGGCAGGAUAUUAGAAAUAUUCUCUCAGUAAGCCAUUGUCUCUUUCCAUUGUGGUCAUAUUCGUAAGAGAAUAUGACCACAUCUGUGUAAGAGAGAGAGAGAGAGAGAGAGACAGAGAGAGAGAGAGAGAAAGAGAAAGAGAAAGAGAAAGAGAAAGAGAAAGAGAAAGAGAAAGAGAGAGAGAGAGAGAGAGAGAGAGAGAGAGGUAUUAGGAUGAAAUCCAAGCUACACCACGGGUAGUAGCAGCUAGGAAGUCAGGCCUUUAUAUAAAGUCCCUGAGCAGAGAGAGAGAGAGAGCGAGAGAGAGAGAGAGAGAAGAGAGAGUGAGUGAGAUAGAGAGUGUGAGAGAAGAGAGAGGGAAAGUUAGUAAGGAGGCACAUUUGUAAAGCCCUCACGGUCUCAAGCAGGAAGACUUUUUGAAGUGAUUAUGGAGACAGUUCAGAUCAAAGGAUUUGACAAGUCUGAGUGCUCGCCAAAUACGAGCCGGGCUAAUCACGCUGAAGCCCUCCAUACAAGACACCACUGGUCCCUCCAGCUGCUUUGCAAAUGUAACGUGACACUCAGGGAUAAACAGAUUAUCAGGGGACAUAAGAGAAAAAAAUCCUCUCAUACUAGUAGAAGUCAAAUAGUUUAUUUAAUGAACUUGGAGACUACCAAUGUACUGUAUAUGGUGGUGUGUAAUAAUAAAUCAUUUUCUGUAAAGUC